RNAcentral lists this ribosomal RNA (253 nucleotides) under uncultured bacterium. RNAcentral's name for it is "partial 16S ribosomal RNA". It matches the Rfam family "Bacterial small subunit ribosomal RNA", at positions 524 to 777 of the family's 1533-position model. The record is from RNAcentral.
GACAGAGGUGCCGAGCGUUAGGCGGAAUCACUGGGCUUAAAGCGUGUGUAGGCGGACUUCUAAGUACCUUGUGAAAUCCCACAGCUCAACUGUGGAACUGCUCGGUAUACUGGUUGUCUUGAGCCACUUAGGGGCAGUCGGAACAGACGGUGGAGCGGUGAAAUGCGUAGAUAUCUGGAGGAACACCGGUGGCGAAGGCGGCAUCCUGGACCGGCAUGACGCUGAGGCGCGAAAGCCAGGGGAGCAAACGGGG